RNAcentral lists this ribosomal RNA (498 nucleotides) under uncultured bacterium. RNAcentral describes it as "partial 16S ribosomal RNA". It matches the Rfam family "Bacterial small subunit ribosomal RNA", at positions 30 to 523 of the family's 1533-position model. The record is from RNAcentral.
AUUGAACGCUGGCGGCAUGCCUUACACAUGCAAGUCGAACGGUAACAGGUCUUCGGAUGCUGACGAGUGGCGAACGGGUGAGUAAUACAUCGGAACGUGCCUAGUAGUGGGGGAUAACUACUCGAAAGAGUGGCUAAUACCGCAUGAGAUCUACGGAUGAAAGCAGGGGAUCGCAAGACCUUGUGCUACUAGAGCGGCCGAUGGCAGAUUAGGUAGUUGGUGGGAUAAAAGCUUACCAAGCCGACGAUCUGUAGCUGGUCUGAGAGGACGAUCAGCCAACCUGGGAGUGAGACACGGCCCAGACUCCUACGGGAGGCAGCAGUGGGGAAUUUUGGACAAUGGGCGAAAGCCUGAUCCAGCAAUGCCGCGUGCAGGAUGAAGGCCUUCGGGUUGUAAACUGCUUUUGUACGGAACGAAAAGCCCCGGGUUAAUACCCUGGGGUCAUGACGGUACCGUAAGAAUAAGCACCGGCUAACUACGUGCCAGCCGCCGCAGUAA